This 85-nucleotide transfer RNA is filed under the name Felis catus (domestic cat). It matches the Rfam family "tRNA". Rfam says of the family: Transfer RNA (tRNA) molecules are approximately 80 nucleotides in length. Their secondary structure includes four short double-helical elements and three loops (D, anti-codon, and T loops). Lineage: Eukaryota; Metazoa; Chordata; Mammalia; Carnivora; Felidae. The record is from Rfam by way of RNAcentral. RNAcentral also lists the same sequence under 2 other names.
GCCUGGGUGGCUCAGUCGGUUAAGCAUCCGACUUUGGCUCAGGUCAUGAUAUCAUGGUUCGUGGGUUCGAGUCCCAUCUCAGGCU